Molecule: ribosomal RNA, 301 nt
Filed under: uncultured bacterium
Lineage: Bacteria
Description: partial 16S ribosomal RNA
Rfam family: Bacterial small subunit ribosomal RNA
Source: RNAcentral
CAGUCGCCACGGUAAUACGUAGGUCCCGAGCGUUGUCCGGAUUUAUUGGGCGUAAAGGGAGCGCAGGCGGUUUAGUAAGUCUGAAGUUAAAGGCAUUGGCUCAACCAAUGUAUGCUUUGGAAACUGUUAGACUUGAGUGCAGAAGGGGAGAGUGGAAUUCCAUGUGUAGCGGUGAAAUGCGUAGAUAUAUGGAGGAACACCGGUGGCGAAAGCGGCUCUCUGGCUUGUAACUGACGCUGAGGCUCGAAAGCGUGGGGAGCAAACAGGAUUAGAUACCCGUGUAGUCCCUGUCUCUUAUACA